CCUACGGGAGGCAGCAGUCGAGAAUCAUUCGCAAUGGGCGAAAGCCUGACGUAUGCGACGCCGUGUGAGCGAUGAAGGCCUUAGGGUCGUAAAGCUCUUUCGCUUGGGAACAAGAGAAGCUAGCUAAUAUCUAGCAAUUUGAGGGUACCAGGUAAAGAAGCACCGGCUAACUCCGUGCCAGCAGCUGCGGUAAUACGGAGGGUGCAAGCAUUAAUCGGAUUUAUUGGGCGUAAAGGGCGCGUAGGCGGGUUUGUAAGUCAGAUGUGAAAUCCCGGGGCUCAACCUCGGAACAGCAUUUGAAACUACAUACCUAGAGGGUAGGCGGAGAAAACGGAAUUCCACAAGUAGCGGUGAAAUGCGUAGAUAUGUGGAAGAACACCGGUGGCGAAGGCGGUUUUCUAGCUUAUUCCUGACGCUGAGGCGCGAAAGCAAGGGGAUCAAACAGGAUUAGAUACCCUGGUAGUCCUUGCCGUAAACUAUGUAUACUUGGUGUAACCGGACUCAACCCUGGUUGUGCCGUAGCAAACGCGAUAAGUAUACCGCCUGGGGAGUACGCUCGCAAGGGUGAAACUCAAAGGAAUUGACGG
RNAcentral lists this ribosomal RNA (587 nucleotides) under uncultured bacterium. Its description in RNAcentral is "bacterial SSU rRNA". It matches the Rfam family "Bacterial small subunit ribosomal RNA", at positions 338 to 916 of the family's 1533-position model. The record is from RNAcentral.